GGGGGCGUACUGGAUUCGACGGGGGUUUGAAGUGGCAGAAGAAGCGAGCCGGGGGCCGGACCCCGUCAACAACUGGAAAUCGGCUAAUAACUGCCAACAAUAACUACGCUUUCGCAGCCUAAUUAACUAGGCUGCCGUCCUACCAGUUCCCUGCCUGUGGGGAUUGGCCAGGGCGUCGCUAAUACAGGCUACCGCCGGUAAUUGCCUCCGCCACCGACGGGAAAUUAAGGAGGCUGGUCAGCGGCUGAUCCUGUCCCUGGGAGCUGUCAAUGACGAGAACUAAUACAGGGAAUGCGCUCGGAGAUGCUUCUGUGGCUUAACCUUCGGACGCGGGUUCGACUCCCGCCGCCUCCACCA
This 357-nucleotide transfer-messenger RNA is filed under the name bacterium. RNAcentral describes it as "UBA4975 sp012727415 Standard tmRNA". It matches the Rfam family "transfer-messenger RNA". From Rfam's summary of the family: Bacterial tmRNA, also known as 10Sa RNA or SsrA, is named for its dual tRNA and mRNA-like properties. Its role is to liberate the mRNA from a stalled ribosome. The record is from RNAcentral. RNAcentral also lists the same sequence under 1 other name.